UUAGUACUCCUUCCGUCCAAAAAUACUGGUCAUAAGAAUAGAUGUACCUAGAUAUAUUUUAGUUCUAGAUACAUCAUUUUUUAUUCAUUUGUGGGACAAGUAAUUUCGGACGGAGGGAGUACUAU
This is a non-coding RNA of Hordeum vulgare subsp. vulgare (domesticated barley), 125 nucleotides long. The record is from Rfam. Lineage: Eukaryota; Viridiplantae; Streptophyta; Magnoliopsida; Poales; Poaceae.